CUCAAAUGUGCUAAUGUUGGAUUCUUUUGCCUUAUACCUCGUUCAUAUUGCUGUGGUUGUUAAUGGGUAUUUUUUAUCGUGUGCUUGUCUGGGGAAUUUGGCCACUUUAGUAUAUGCAAUGCAAUGCAACCUGUGUUGGUCAUACUUGCUUCUAUGAUGAUGUGAUUGGGAAAAUUUAGUUAUGAUUCUUUUUGGUCAUGACAAUUCUGAUUGGCUUUUGGGUUUUGAGACCAUCUUUGGAGCAUUUACUUGCUGUCUGUGGCAUGGAUUAGGAAAAGAUGGGGAGGGUAUUUUAGGAAAUCAAUUCAAUUGUGUGCAAGUGUGUGUGGAUUUGCAAAUUAUUUAGGGAAUGUUUUUUUCCAUGUAAAAUAGCUAUAGUAAUUUCCACUUUGUUAAACUUUAUUUUGUCUGCGUUCACUUCUACGUUGCUUUUCUUUUCUCUUACUUUAUUCUUCUGUAUUUUACUACCAAAUCAGUCUUUUAUUCUCACAUAUCAAUUAUAUAAUAUAAUUCUGAUACAGACCAACACAGAAAAUAAGAGAAAGGAGGUAAACGUGGUAUAUUAUUGAUACUGAAAAAGGGAAAAUACAAUAGGAGGCUACUGUCCAGAGCUAUGCUCCUAUAGAGAAUUAGCAUUCUCCAUUCUGCAAAACUGCAAUAUUCUUUUCUCCCCCCAUUCUCAUGCUAGGCUGUGCCUAUAAGGGUACACGCCUCACACACCCACAAACCCGUAACUAACUAUCACCCAACCUUUUCUUUCUCUCUCUCUCUGCCACCUCAUCAUGCUCUGUUAGCCUUUUCAAUUCUGUUUCUCCUAGUGUACACACGCCAUAUUCUAGGCCUAUGUAAACCUGGAUCAGCUUGAACAUUCUUUUGGGCCCAUGAAUCAUUUUGGGUUCUAUCAAAUUCUCUAUCAUAUGCAAACAGAAUGAGGUUUGGAGAGGUAUGUGGGCAUCUAAAAUAAGGUGUAUUUGGGAACAAAGAAACUGUGUUGUCUUUAAGCAAGGUGUAGCUGAUUCAGAGAAAAUCUUUCAUUUGGCACAACUUAUAAUGUGGUUAUGGGUGAAACAUAGCGUGCAAUCAUUCAACUAUUCUUUUUUGGAUUGGGUGUUAAAUCCUAUUCUUUGUAUCAAACGGUGUGGAUGUGGACGUCUGGAAGCUAGGGGUCUAAUGCUAGGUGCACAAAGUUCAUUUGGAUGGAGCAUACCAUUUGCAUCUGGUAGUGCAAUUUGUGCAGCAUCCUGUGGCAAUGAGCUGCUGGUAGUGUUACUAGUUUUUGAUAAUGGUUGUUUCCAAGGUAGUGGUACUAGUUUUUGGGAAGAUCUUCAUAGCUAUGGUUUUUUACAAUUUAAAAUACACCUGGUGAAGUAAUAGAAGUGGUGUAAGGAGGCAGCUUGUAUAGGAAUUGAAUUGGUAUGUACAAGGACUAGUGCUCUUGAAGUUGUAGGAGGUAAAACAAAAUUGGGAAUGCUGGUUUGGUGUGGAUGACGGUUUGGGAUGGUAUGCAGGAGAUAAACCAGCAUCGUAUGAUAUGAUGACUAGGUGAGAUUGUUGGUUUGAUGUGGAAGCUGGUGUUGAAUGCUGGAUGCUGGUUUGUAGGUUAAAGGUGCUCUAAGGCCAAAAACUUCGUUUUACAAGCAAUGCUUAAGCCAAUGCAGGGGAAUUUAACAACUCCUAUGAAGCCCAACUAUACCAGAAGCAUACAAAGUAGAUGCAAGUGCAACCUAACUUUUUUGUUUGCUGAAUUUUAGCAAGAAGAAGAUGAUCAUGUUGGCAGUUAUGGCAGCAGUUUUUGAAGUCUAAAUUGUGUAACUAUACAGGUGAUUAAUGGCCAAAGGAACUGUUAGGAAAGAGAGAUGCAGAUUCGCUAGAAUAUGUGGCAUAAAUUAUAUGGGAACAUCAAAUAUGUUUUCAGCACUCACAAUCACAUAUUGAUGAGUCUAGUUUUCAGUCACCUUCAUGUUUCAUAAGUUGAUCAUCAUCAUCACAUGCCAUUACAACUUUAAUAUGUUUUCAUCGCAACCACAACAUCUUUUAGACACAUCAAAUAAUUUUGCGACAUAUACCACAACCAUCCACAUACAAUCCACUAUUUUGUUGGAAUCACGACUUAAGUACCCUUUUUUUUUAACUCAUUUUGAUAAAUCUAAAAUAAAAUCAUACCAUUUACUUCAAAAAAAAACGAUCCAACAUUGUAUACUAACAAAAAGGAAACACAACUUUAUUUUCCUUCUUCCAAGAUUUACAUGUCUUGAGUUGAAUAACUCUUACCAUCUUUUUUUAAUCAACAUAACAUUGUUUUCAUAAAUAUUACCAUUACCGUUUCCCCGGAACCAUCCACCAUUGGAUACCCCUCUUGCAUAUUUGGGGGUGGCACGAGGUACUGGUAUGGAAACACUAUCACUGUCUUCACUGUCAGACUGCCAAAACACUUUACCCUUCCGUUUAUGAUCGCAAUGAGGGCACAUGGUAGGCUUUCAAGUCCCAGUUUUAUAGACUUGAUCAAACAUAUAAAGUAAUGCAGAGACAGGAUACUGCUCAGGGCCCUCCACUGUUGUAUCAAUUUUUCCAUUGAAUAAUCUACACUUUGCCACCAGAGAAAGCCCAAUAUCUGUUCCAGUUGAUCUGUCAAAACUUGUUCCGCUGCUCUUGACAAAGUAGUGCGCCACAGUCACCACCGAGGACCCCACCUCCCUCUCUUUUUCUUUGACUCCUUAACAAGAAGACCGCUUCUGCCUCCACUCCCAUACAACUGAACUUCUGUAUCCACAACACCACCCCAUGCAUCAAAACUCUCGUUAUUCUUUGCCCAUGUUUUGAAAUCAGGUAUCAACAACCUGAAACUCUUCAUCCAAAUAUAAUUGGUCUCAUCGAACCCAAUAGAAUACCACGAAUAGAAAUCAAAAGAUAUACGGUCUUGGACGAAAAAUCGUAUUUCUUUGGCCUUGCUAUGUUGAUCAACACCAUAUCUUGUGAAGGAUACCUCACAAGUUUCCUUAUCUACUGUGUAUACCACCUUAAAGGUCUCCUUCACCGCAUCGUCUUUCUCAAAAUCUUUGGACAAGUCGAUGGAAGUGGAUGGUCCCAGCUGUAGAUGGCAGGGAAUUGGAGCAGAUCCAAUAUAAUUAUCGAGAACAACAUCAAGACUGCUUCCCAUCUUGUUAUUUUAUAGGAAAUAGAAUGGAAGGAAUGGAAUGGAUUAGUAGUUUAAGGGUUGAUACUUGAAUGGAAGGAUGUUCACAUGCCAAUGUUAUAUAUAGAGAUGCACACAUUACAUUACAGUAUAAUCUUUGCCCUAGUAAGCGUUAUUCUUACGCACAUUCAUUCUUUCAAUCACAGUCACUGUGGCAUCUAAUUCUCCAUCAUGCAUUACCUUUUACUGUUAAAUAUUCUCCAAUCUUCAACCUCUUUGAUUCUUCAUUCUUCCACUAAUUCAAUUCUUUUCUCAGUGCGGCUCACAACGGGUGUUUGUUUUUUAUGAACCUGUUACAGUUUCAAAACCAUUUUGUAGAUCACUUCAAUAUUUCUGCACAAAACAAUAACUAUGUAAAUGCUACAGCUAAUAGAUAAACAUGCCUCAUAAUUACAGUAAGGGAUGAACUUUUUUAAUAACCAUGAUUAUAUAUUUUAUUACUAGACUAUUAUUUAUGAACUUUAUUGUCUUUUUUUGUGGCUUGUGGCGUGCAGGUGGAGCUUGAACAGUACCCAACGGCACCCCGUAUUGCUUCUCGAAUGCUUUUCACCGUGUUCCCUCAUUCCCUAUAUUCACCAUCUUUUUUUAUUUCACUCUUACUCCUCAAAUGUGCUAAAGUUGGAUUCUUUUGACUUAUACCACGUUCAUAUUGCUGUGGUUGUUAAUGGGUAUUUUUUAUCGUGUGCUUGUCUGGGGAAUUUGGCCACUUUAGUAUAUGCAAUGCAAUGCAACCUGUGUUGGUCAUACUUGCUUCUAUGAUGAUGUGAUUGGGAACAUCUAGUUAUGAUUAUUUUUGGUCAUGACAAUUCUGAUUGGCUUUUGGGUUUUGAGACCAUCUUUGGAGCAUUUACUUGCUGUUCUGUGGCAUGGAUUAGGAAAAGAUGGGGAGGGUAUUUUAGGAAAUCAAUUCAAUUGUGUGCAAGUGUGUGUGGAUUUGCAAAUUAUUUAGGGAAUGUUUUUUUCC
Molecule: long non-coding RNA, 4157 nt
Filed under: Phaseolus vulgaris (common bean)
Lineage: Eukaryota; Viridiplantae; Streptophyta; Magnoliopsida; Fabales; Fabaceae
Description: long non-coding RNA (PVUL_LNC003715)
Source: RNAcentral